Argiope bruennichi is the source of this 117-nucleotide long non-coding RNA. RefSeq lists it as uncharacterized. The record is from RefSeq and is a predicted model, not a curated record. Lineage: Eukaryota; Metazoa; Arthropoda; Arachnida; Araneae; Araneidae. The transcript is spliced from 3 exons.
AGUUCUACGCUCUCGAGUGAUAAAGGGGCCUAGUGAAAUCGAUGGUGUUGCCGGAUACUCCGGUAAAAGCAGAGUUCGACGCACCCGAAAUGGAAAGGAGCCUGGUGACAUCGGUGG